RNAcentral lists this ribosomal RNA (494 nucleotides) under uncultured bacterium. Its description in RNAcentral is "partial 16S ribosomal RNA". It matches the Rfam family "Bacterial small subunit ribosomal RNA", at positions 31 to 507 of the family's 1533-position model. The record is from RNAcentral.
GAACGCUGGCGGCGUGCCUAAUACAUGCAAGUCGAGCGAGCAGACGAGGAGCUUGCUCCUCUGACGUUCGCGGCGGACGGGUGAGUAACACGUGGAUAACCUACCUAUAAGACUGGGAUAACUUCGGGAAACCGGAGCUAAUACCGGAUAAUAUAUUGAACCGCAUGGUUCAAUAGUGAAAGACGGUUUUGCUGUCACUUAUAGAUGGAUCCGCGCCGCAUUAGCUAGUUGGUAAGGUAACGGCUUACCAAGGCAACGAUGCGUAGCCGACCUGAGAGGGUGAUCGGCCACACUGGAACUGAGACACGGUCCAGACUCCUACGGGAGGCAGCAGUAGGGAAUCUUCCGCAAUGGGCGAAAGCUUGACGGAGCAACGCCGCGUGAGUGAUGAAGGUCUUCGGAUCGUAAAACUCUGUUAUUAGGGAAGAACAAAUGUGUAAGUAACUAUGCACGUCUUGACGGUACCUAAUCAGAAAGCCACGGCUAACUACGUG